Molecule: long non-coding RNA, 111 nt
Organism: Sinocyclocheilus grahami
Lineage: Eukaryota; Metazoa; Chordata; Actinopteri; Cypriniformes; Cyprinidae
Exons: 4
Source: RefSeq, a predicted model, not a curated record
UUGACAUGUAAAAAGGCUACACUAGAGAACUGCACUCCCGCGGGAGUACCGCGGGACCCAACGCAACAGGGUGCGGCGCGGGACAACUCUUGAUUGUCGAGUGCGGGUGCG